RNAcentral lists this long non-coding RNA (817 nucleotides) under Ananas comosus (pineapple). RNAcentral describes it as "long non-coding RNA (ACOM_LNC016282)". Lineage: Eukaryota; Viridiplantae; Streptophyta; Magnoliopsida; Poales; Bromeliaceae. The record is from RNAcentral.
UCAAAAAUAGUGUAACGUUCUCCUAAGAUAGUGUAACAUUUUUCUGAAAUAGUGCAAAUUCAUCAUCUUCUUCUUUUCUCUCUGUUUUUUUAUUUUUUCUUGUAGAAAGAUUUUUUUUUUAUAUUUUAUUUUAUUUUUAGGCUAAAUUACAUAAAACUCCCCUAUCAAAAACCGAUUUUUCACUUCCCCUCUUGUCAUUUAAAAAUCUGCACUUUACCCUCUUGUAAAAUGAAAAUUGUUCACAGGGGGGUAUGGUGCGUAAAAUGACUAUUUUGUCCUUCACUAUUUUCAUCUCAUUCUUCAUCUUCCUCAACCGCCGCCUCAAUCGGCCGCGAUUCACACCUCGAUCGGUCGCGAUUUUUCUCUAUUUUCUUCUCCACCUGCUCCCCUUCUCCUCCUGCACCCUCGUCGCCCCUCGAUUUCGGCGACAGUAGGGAGGAAAUCGAGGUAGGCGCUGAUGGAGAGAUAGGCAAGGGCAAUAAGGGCGAAGGCGAGGUGGUGGAGGAGGGUGAAGGGGAUGUGGGUGUGGGCGAGGGCGAGGGCAAGGUAGUGGAGAGGGCGAGGUGGCGAGGCGGCGAUUCGGCGGCGAAGCGGUGAGCCGAAGUGAGGUGAAGCAACAAGGAAGAGGGCGGAGGGGUAUUUUUGGCAUAAAAAAUAUUUUAUAACGGGACCCUAACGGAUCACUAAUGGUAUGGGGUGAAGUGCACAUUUUUCAUUUUAUAAAGGGGCGAAAUGUAGGUUUUUAAAUGACAGGGAGAGAAGUGCAAAAUCGAAUUUUGACAGGAUAGUUUCCUGUAAUUUAACUUUUUUAAAUUUU